GGUACAGAGUCAAUGUGGAGGCUAUAUACAGGGGGUACCGGUACAGAGUCAAUGUGGAGGCUAUAUACAGGGUAUUACGGUACAGAGUCAAUGUGGAGGCUAUAUACAGGGGGUACCGGUACAGAGUCAAUGUGGAGGCUAUAUACAGGGUAUUACGGUACAGAGUCAAUGUGGAGGCUAUAUACAGGGUAUUACGGUACAGAGUCAAUGUGGAGGCUAUAUACAGGGGGUACCGGUACAGAGUCAAUGUGGAGGCUGUAUACAGGGGGUACCGGUACAGAGUCAAUGUGGAGGCUAUAUACAGGGGGUACCGGUACAGAGUCAAUGUGGAGGCUAUAUACAGGGGGUACCGGUACAGAGUCAAUGUGGAGGCUAUAUACAGGGGGUACCGGUACAGAGGCAAUGUGGAGGCUGUAUACAGGGGGUACCAGGACUGAGUCA
RNAcentral lists this long non-coding RNA (441 nucleotides) under Salmo salar (Atlantic salmon). RNAcentral's name for it is "lncRNA (ENSSSAG00000007700.2)". The record is from RNAcentral. Lineage: Eukaryota; Metazoa; Chordata; Actinopteri; Salmoniformes; Salmonidae.